AAUCAACGCUGGCGGCGUGCCUCAGACAUGCAAGUCGAACGAUUAAAGCUCUCUUCGGAGAGUGUAUAGAGUGGCGCACGGGUGAGUAACACGUAAGUAAUCUACCUUCGAGUGGGGAAUAACAGUCGGAAACGACUGCUAAUACCGCAUAAUGCAGCGGCAUCGCAAGAUGACAGUUGUUAAAGGAGCAAUUCGCUUGAAGAGGAGCUUGCGGCAGAUUAGCUAGUUGGUAAGGUAAUGGCUUACCAAGGCUACGAUCUGUAUCCGGUCUAAGAGGACGGUCGGACACACUGACACUGAAUAACGGGUCAGACUCCUACGGGAGGCAGCAGUCGGGAAUUUUGGGCAAUGGGCGAAAGCCUGACCCAGCAACGCCGCGUGAAGGAUGAAGUAUUUCGGUAUGUAAACUUCGAAAGAAUAGGAAGAAUAAAUGACGGUACUAUUUAUAAGGUCCGGCUAACUACGUGCCAG
Molecule: ribosomal RNA, 471 nt
Filed under: uncultured bacterium
Lineage: Bacteria
Description: bacterial SSU rRNA
Rfam family: Bacterial small subunit ribosomal RNA
Source: RNAcentral